This is a long non-coding RNA of Microplitis demolitor, 3551 nucleotides long. RefSeq lists it as uncharacterized. NCBI's taxonomy places the organism in Eukaryota, Metazoa, Arthropoda, Insecta, Hymenoptera, Braconidae. The record is from RefSeq and is a predicted model, not a curated record. The transcript is spliced from 7 exons.
CACCGCUCACUCCUACUAUAUCGCAAAAUAUAUAGUAUAAUAUUAUAUUAAAAUGAGUUUGUUGUAUGAGAUUAGCAUAAGUUCUGCUCUGCUAACAUUAUGUGUCUAUCAACUAGUUGGAUGCAAUGACGCAUGGAGUAAUCUGUGUGCUUAAUAUAAUGAAAUAGUAAUUAUUAAUAAAAUUAACUAAUCUUAUGCUUCGAAAAUAAGUGUUAACAAAACUUUUUAUACUCUUUUAGUGUAAUCCUCACCUUCUGCAACCGUGUUGUGAUGAAAAUGCUUCGUGCAAAGUGAAAAAGUCAAGGAAUAAUUAUGUCUGCUGAGAAAGAUCUAAGUUGGAUGGUUAGUGUGUCAGCGAUAAAGACUGCAGCGAAAUAUGGCAUGCUAAAUGUUCGGAAAAAAGGUGUUUGUCGACCAAAUAAUAUAAUAAUUAAUGACAUACACUGUGCAUCGCCAUUAGGAAAAUUUUGCUGGAAAAACGAAAUGUGCGCAACCAAUAAUGCUGUUUGUAUAGAUAACGAAUGUCAAUGUAAUAAACAGCAUAUCCAAUUUGAUAAUCAAUGCAUACUAAAUGGAUGAGCAAGUUUCUUCGUCCAGAACUGUAAUAGUAGCAUCGUCUUGAGCGAGUUACUUAUCAACUGUCCUUAAGCAUGCUUCAUCAGAAACUCACUUCACUCGAGCAAGUUUUUUUGGGCACUCAAUGUGAAGACGAAUCAUUUUGUAAACGAUUUAUAAAUCAUUCCAAAUGCUCUGAGAGUGGAAAAUGUGUAUGCGACUCUAAUGACUAUAUAAUAGAUAACAAUGCAUGCGUACCAAAAUUAAACGCAGAUUGUUUCACUGAUGAACUUUGUGCAACAGACAAUGCUAUGUGUAUUGAUAAUAAAUGUCAGUGUAAGCCUAAUCAUAUCUUUCGAGGAUCUAAAUGUUUUCCAAUUCAUUUGUUCGAAGAAUGUUAUACACAUAGAGAUUGUUAUAAAAUGGAAUUUGCAAAGUGCUCAGAUUCAAAUCAAUGUAUGUGCAGAGAUGAAUACUUACCAAUUAACGAAUCAACUCGUGCAGCAAGCUUAGGUGCAGCUUGUGCAAAAAAUGCACAAUGUAAACCCAGUAAUUUGAGGUGUGUUCAGAAUAAAUGCCAAUACCCUGUAAAACCUAUUGUACUGUUAAAUGAUGAAUCCGUACCCAGUACGCUUCGGCCCUUUGUAGCAUUCUUCUUGCAUAAGGCGGUAUCGUCAGUCUUCAGCAAAUCUGCAUCAUGAGUUUUAAAAAAGUCUGAGGCAAGAUACUUCCGUAAGUCACGUUGAGUAAAUCUGCAGUAAUGCAUGAUUGAGAAAAGAUACUUGCAUGAGAAACAUAAGAUCAGGCUUGCUACCGAAUCGCUUAAGAUACGUGAAUAUGUUUACCACCUUCAUUACUUCCUGAGCCGUCUAUUCAGCAUCAGUAUAGUAAAUUCAAUGGUGCUGACCUAAUGAUUGAUAUAAUUUUAUCGAUUGAUGAUAUUAUUAAUUUAUAGCGCUUAAAUGUAAAAGAGGACAACUGAAGUUGCCAGAAAUACUGUGUUUGAGCUUGGAGUAGUGUGAAGAUAAAGAAACCUGAUUUCUUAAACAGUUUUGCAGCAAUUCUGAGCUUUCGUUAUUAUACAAUAUUAUACUUUCUCCAAGUUCUGUUAGGAAGCCCCUGCCUGACAAAUAUAAAUUGUAAGAGUAUUCAAAAGUCCACUUCUUUGCAUCCUUUAAUUUAACAUGUGAACCAACUUUAUAUGGAUUUCGUACGAAAGAUGAUCAAUGUCUUCAUCAUUCAUUUUAUUGUUUGAAUAAUAUGUGUCAAUGCAAACCAGGUUUUACAUCAGUUGCUGUUGAUCAAUGUUCCGAAAAAAAUUGGUAAUUUUUAAAGUUGUAGAUUUCGUUCAUAUUUCCGAAAAUCGAGUUUCGAAUAGAUUGCGAGGUUUUACCGUACUUGGAAGCUAUCCUGACUAUUUUCAAAGGGGUGUCCGAGUAUAUGUAUAUGGCAAAUUCUCGGUAUUCCUGUAAAAACAAAUAUGACUGCAGUGAUCUGUGGCAUUCACAUCGUUCAAGGGAACGCAAAUGUGUUUUUAAAUCAAAUAAUGUUGCAAUCAAUAAUUCUACAUGUUUACCUAUUUUAGAUGGCUAUUGUUGGAGAAAUGAUCAAUGUGCUGUUGAAAACUCUUUUUGCAGUAAUUAUAGGUGUGCGUGUAAAUCUCACUUCCUUGCUAUCGCCAAAAAUCAAUGCAUUUCUGUUCUUAAUUAAUAGAAAUGCUUAGCCGAUAUUUUAUAGAGUUAUUAUUCUAGAAACUGGCUAAUUUAUCAAUGAAGAUACAAUUCGUCAAAAUGUCGCAGAGUUCAAGACAAACUUUAGCAACAAUGCCAAUCUCAAGUUACUGGAGGAAAUACUGAUUUUAAGGUUGACGCAACAGAAACGAUGAUCUACAUAUGAGAUAUACACAAUAAAAUAUAAUCUUGAAGUAGUUUAUGUAAAUUUGACAUGAAUGUCCUGAAAAACCAUUGACUAUUAAUUUUAGAUAACGACUCUAGUAACAUUCUUAAAAAAGUCUUACGCAAGUCAGUACAUUCAGUCUUUAGCAUGUCUGGAUUAUCAGUUUUGAACAAGUCUGAGGCAAGAUACUUUCGUAAGAUCCGUUAAGUAAAUCUGUAUUAAAACUUGUUGAGGACGAAAUCCUCUCUUAAGAUGAAUCAAAUCUAACUUACUGCAGAAUUAGUUAAGAUAUGAGGAUGACGAUUCUCUUCGUUACUUCGUUACUUCGUGAGCCGUCUAUUCUAUGCUAGUAUAUUCAAUUCAGUGACGACCACUCAGUGUUCAAUUUGAUUUUAUUGAGUGAUAAUAUUUUUUGCUUGUGACACUUUAAAUUCAAAUAGGAACCGCUGGGUUUGCUACACGUACUGCAUAUAAGCUUGAUCUGACUUGUAGAUAAUAAACUCCGCUAUGCGAAGUCUUGCUGGACACUGUUUCUACAGACUUCUAUAAGUCUUGAAAACGAAAUUCAAAAAAGACUUGAUAAGCUCCACAGCAAAUAUACUUAUCAAAUCUAUCUUCUUUAAGUCUUGUUUAAAUUUACCGUGAGAAAAUUAAUAAUGGACAUUUGUCAAGUAACUUGCUUAAAAUGAUGACACUACGGUAUGAAUCAGCCAGCAAAUAUUGAUGCGUUUUGACUAUUGUACGAUUCACAUAAACCUCGUUUAGGAAACAACUGGUUUAAGUGGUGGCUCACUAAUGCUUAUCUAAGAUAUCAUUGACAAAACUGAGAUAUAUUUACAUUGUCUUCUUUAAAAUAUUAUAUAUAUGCAUACAUACAUACAUUUACAUGUAUAUGUACUGUAACAAGAUUUAUCGGCGCAGUAGCAACGUGUAUCGUAUAUAAAAGGACCUACGAGUCUAGACAUCGAUUAUUUAUUAUUAUCAAUCCUUUAUGAAUCAUGUAUUAGUUAUACCUUUCAUUCUCAUAAAGAUGAGUUAUAAUGUUGGAAUACGUCUACAAUUAUUCUACCUUAUCCUAUUCCUUUCAUCCGUUUAAGGAA